UACGAAGGGUGCAAGCGUUACUCGGAAUUACUGGGCGUAAAGCGUGCGUAGGUGGUUUGUUAAGUCUGCUGUGAAGCCCCGGGCUCAACCUGGGAAUGGCAGUGGAUACUGGCAAGCUAGAGUGCGGUAGAGGGUAGUGGAAGUUCCCGGUGUAGCGGUGAAAUGCGUAGAGAUCGGGAGGAACACCCAGUGGGCGAAGGGCGG
This 204-nucleotide ribosomal RNA is filed under the name uncultured bacterium. Its description in RNAcentral is "partial 16S ribosomal RNA". It matches the Rfam family "Bacterial small subunit ribosomal RNA", at positions 524 to 724 of the family's 1533-position model. The record is from RNAcentral.